AUGACCGCACCCAAGUUCCUCGAGAAGCUGCUCCCUCGCCACCCCUCGUUGUCCGACCAGCAGCAGGAAUUGGAGCCACCUUGCCUCGCCCGCCGGCGAGCCCCUUCUCCGGCGACCCCGUACUCUGCUCGCCCGCUCCCCUGUUUCUCCUUCCCACGCGCCGACUCCUUCCCCCUCGCACCUAAGCCUUGCUGCUGCCUGUGUUUCUCCCACCACUUGCAGCUGACGGAGCAGGACCUCCUCGUCGUGGCUCUGCCUCCACUAGCAGCAUGCUGCUACCUGUCAUCUCCAUGGCCUUGA
This 300-nucleotide ribosomal RNA is filed under the name Triticum aestivum (bread wheat). RNAcentral's name for it is "partial small subunit ribosomal RNA". Lineage: Eukaryota; Viridiplantae; Streptophyta; Magnoliopsida; Poales; Poaceae. The record is from RNAcentral.